This 235-nucleotide ribosomal RNA is filed under the name uncultured bacterium. RNAcentral's name for it is "partial 16S ribosomal RNA". It matches the Rfam family "Bacterial small subunit ribosomal RNA", at positions 96 to 334 of the family's 1533-position model. The record is from RNAcentral.
UGGCGGACGGGUGAGUAAUGUCUGGGAAACUGCCCGAUGGAGGGGGAUAACUACUGGAAACGGUAGCUAAUACCGCAUAACGUCGCAAGACCAAAGCGGGGGACCUCCGGGCCUCGCGCCAUCAGAUGAACCCAUAUGGGAUUAGCUUGUAGGUAAGGUAACGGCUUACCUAGGCGACGAUCCCUAGCUGGUCUGAGAGGAUGAUCAGCCACACUGGGACUGAGACACGGCCCAG